This 497-nucleotide ribosomal RNA is filed under the name uncultured bacterium. RNAcentral describes it as "partial 16S ribosomal RNA". It matches the Rfam family "Bacterial small subunit ribosomal RNA", at positions 28 to 507 of the family's 1533-position model. The record is from RNAcentral.
GACGAACGCUGGCGGCGUGCCUAAUACAUGCAAGUUGAGCGCUGAAGGUUGGUACUUGUACCGACUGGAUGAGCAGCGAACGGGUGAGUAACGCGUGGGGAAUCUGCCUUUGAGCGGGGGACAACAUGUGGAAACGAAUGCUAAUACCGCAUAAAAACUUUAAACACAAGUUUUAAGUUUGAAAGAUGCAAUUGCAUCACUCAAAGAUGAUCCCGCGUUGUAUUGGCUAGUUGGUGAGGUAAAGGCUCACCAAGGCGAUGAUACAUAGCCGACAUGAGAGGGUGAGCGGCCACAUUGGGACUGUGACCCGGCACAAAGGGCUACGGGAGGCAGCAGUAGGGAAUCUUCGGCAAGGGACGAAAGACUGACCGAGAAAGGCGGAGUGAGUGAAGAACAUUUUCGGAUCGUGAAACUCUGCUGGUAGGGAAGAACGCUGGUGAGCGUGGAAAGAUCAGCAAGUGACGGUAACUAGUCAGAAAGGGACGGCUAACUACGUG